CCGCGUGACAAGCUAACAAUGACACACUUGUAUGUUAUCGCGGAAGUUGAUACACAUCAUGUACAUAGGCAGAUACUACAUCGCUGUCUGGUUGUUUGUGUAAACUCGGUUAAUAUUUUCUCUGGAUGAAGAUAACACAAUUCAUCGUCGCUAUAAAACAAAGGACGUUAAUAAACCAUGGGCAAAGGUGAAGGUCAGGGAGAAGGGAAAGGUCAAGGUGGAGCUGGACUCCUGAAUUCCAUCUUGUGGUUCUUCAUUCUUAUUUUGCUCGCUUGGCCAAUCGCAUUCUUUGUUGCUUGGUUGUAUGUACUACUACUUCCUUUCGGAGCUUGCAUCAAAGUUUGUCACGAGGCUUGUGAUUCGCUACUGAAAAUUGUCAGGUUGCCUUUUACAUGCGCAGAAAAUAUGAUUCACCAGAAUUCAGUAUGUUAGUCUAGUUCAGUUGUUCAAUUGGUACCCCAGGAACUGGUCAUCAAUAUUGAGAUCCGUUGAGGAUAUAUCGGAAGCAGCUGCUUGGUGUUGAGGACAUAUUCCUAUUAUAAAUGAUGGACGAUGUUUUAAUUGUGUAGAACACGGUCGGUUUCCAAAAAACUUCAUAUGGUGUUUACAGAAAAACUAUGUAAUACACAACCAGUUCCAGUUAAGCAACAUUCCGCAAAAAUCCGUCAUAAGUCAAGAAUAAAUAAGACAAACGAAAUUAACAAUAUCGUCGAUGGAACCGUUUAACUCCAAAUAUGGUGUACCCUUUGUAAAUACUGAACACCUCGGUUUAUCAAAACCUGACUUAAAAAAUAACAGCACUGACGAGGAUGACCAUGUGUCGUCUGCCACAUAAUUGUGUUUUGAUUUGACGAUAAACGUUUUCAAAUUUUCUAGCGUGGAUGAUAUCUAUACAAGUUAUGAAACGCACGCAUAGUGUUUUUUUUAAUGUUAAUGGCCUUGUACAGAUGUCAAUAUUUAUAAAUGCCGCCUCCAUUAAAACAAUAGUUUAGUACA
Pecten maximus is the source of this 996-nucleotide long non-coding RNA. RefSeq lists it as uncharacterized. The record is from RefSeq and is a predicted model, not a curated record. Lineage: Eukaryota; Metazoa; Mollusca; Bivalvia; Pectinida; Pectinidae. The transcript is spliced from 2 exons.